AGCGUCGGACGGGUGAGUAAUGCCUAGGAAAUUGCCUUGAUUUGGGGGAAUCCAUUGGAAACGAUAGCUAAUACCGCACAAUGCCUACGGGCCAAAGAGGGGGACCUUCGGGCCUCUCGCGUCACGAUCUGCCUAGGUGGGAUUAGCUAGUUGGUGAGGUAAUGGCUCACCACUGCGACUAUCCCUAGCUCGUCUGACAGGAUGAUCACCCACACUGGAACUGAGACACGGUCCAGACUCCUACGGGAGGCCCCUGUGGGGAAUAUUGCACAAUGGGCGCAAGCCUGAUGCUCCCAUGCCGCGUGUAUUAAGAACGCCUUCGGGUUGUAAAGUACUUUCAGCAUUGAGGAAGGGGGUGUCGUUAAUACCGGCAUCUCUAGACUUUUUCUGCAUAACAGGCACCGGCUAACUCCGUGCCAGCAGCCGCGGUAAUACGGAGGGUGCGAGCGUUAAUCGGAAUUACUGGGCGUAAAGCGCUCGCAGGUGGUUUGUUAAGUCAGAUGUGAAAGCCCGGGGCUCAACCUCGGAUCUGCAUUUGAAACUGGCAAACUAGAGUACUGUAGAGGGGGGUAGAAUUUCAUAGUGUACGCGGUGAAAUGCGUAGAGAUCUGAAGGAAUACCAGUGGCGAACGCGGCCCCCUGGACAGAUACUGACACUCACAUGCGAAAGCGUGGGGGGCAUACAGGAUUACAUACCCUGGUAUUCCACGCCCUACACGAUGUCUACGUGGAGGUUGUGGCCUUGAGCCGUGGCUAUCGGAGCUCACGCGUUCAGUAGGACCGCCUGGGGUGUAUCGUCGCAACGACUUAAACUCAUAUCGAAUUGACGGGGGCCUCGCGAACAGCGGUAGGAGCAUGUGGUUUCACUUCGAUGCACGCGUGAGCACCUGCUCCUACUGCUGACAUCCAGACGACUUCUUCAGAUGAUGGCAUUGGUGUCCUCGGGAACUCUGAGACAAGAUGCUGCAUGGCUGUCGUCAUCUGCGUGGUGCUAAUGGUGGAGCUGACGUCCGGCACGAGCACGACCGUUAUCAUGCUUGCAUCUAUUAGUGUCUGGCAGCUCAGGUAACUGCUGUUAUAAGCGGAGAAGUGGGGACACCUCAAACUUCUCGGCCCUUAAAGUAGGCUCAACU
RNAcentral lists this ribosomal RNA (1133 nucleotides) under Vibrio sp. RNAcentral's name for it is "bacterial SSU rRNA". It matches the Rfam family "Bacterial small subunit ribosomal RNA", at positions 94 to 1218 of the family's 1533-position model. The record is from RNAcentral. Lineage: Bacteria; Pseudomonadati; Pseudomonadota; Gammaproteobacteria; Vibrionales; Vibrionaceae.